RNAcentral lists this ribosomal RNA (251 nucleotides) under uncultured bacterium. RNAcentral describes it as "partial 16S ribosomal RNA". It matches the Rfam family "Bacterial small subunit ribosomal RNA", at positions 524 to 776 of the family's 1533-position model. The record is from RNAcentral.
UACGUAGGGUGCAAGCGUUGUCCGGAAUUAUUGGGCGUAAAGAGCUCGUAGGCGGUCUGUCGCGUCUGCUGUGAAAACCUGGGGCUUAACCCCGGGCCUGCAGUGGGUACGCAGACUAGAGUGCGGUAGGGGAGACUGGAAUUCCUGGUGUAGCGGUGAAAUGCGCAGAUAUCAGGAGGAACACCGGUGGCGAAGGCGGGUCUCUGGGCCGUAACUGACGCUGAGGAGCGAAAGCGUGGGGAGCGAACAGG